This 450-nucleotide ribosomal RNA is filed under the name uncultured bacterium. RNAcentral describes it as "bacterial SSU rRNA". It matches the Rfam family "Bacterial small subunit ribosomal RNA", at positions 355 to 796 of the family's 1533-position model. The record is from RNAcentral.
UGGGGAAUUGUUCGCAAUGGGCGCAAGCCUGACGACGCAACGCCGCGUGGAGGAUGAAGAUUUUCGGAUCGUAAACUCCUGUCGAAUGGGACGAAAAAGUUGUGGGUUAACAGCCCGCGAUUCUGACGGUACCGUUAAAGGAAACCCCGGCUAACUCCGUGCCAGCAGCCGCGGUAAUACGGGGGGGGUAAGCGUUGUUCGGAAUUACUGGGCGUAAAGGGCUCGUAGGCGGCCAACUAAGUCGGACGUGAAAUCCCUCAGCUUAACUGGGGAACUGCGUCCGAUACUGGAUGGCUUGGAUUUGGGAGAGGGAUGCGGAAUUCCAGGUGUAGCGGUGAAAUGCGUAGAUAUCUGGAGGAACACCGGUGGCGAAGGCGGCAUCCUGGACCAAUAUUGACGCUGAGGAGCGAAAGCUAGGGGAGCAAACGGGAUUAGAUACCCCCGUAGUCC